RNAcentral lists this ribosomal RNA (694 nucleotides) under uncultured Actinomycetales bacterium. RNAcentral's name for it is "bacterial SSU rRNA". It matches the Rfam family "Bacterial small subunit ribosomal RNA", at positions 70 to 777 of the family's 1533-position model. The record is from RNAcentral. Lineage: Bacteria; Bacillati; Actinomycetota; Actinomycetes; Actinomycetales.
UGAAGCCCAGCUUGCUGGGUGGAUUAGUGGCGAACGGGUGAGUAACACGUGAGUAACCUGCCCUUAACUCUGGGAUAAGCCUGGGAAACUAGGUCUAAUACCGGAUAGGAGCGCCUACCGCAUGGUGGGUGUUGGAAAGAUUUAUCGGUUUUGGAUGGACUCGCGGCCUAUCAGCUUGUUGGUGAGGUAAUGGCUCACCAAGGCGACGACGGGUAGCCGGCCUGAGAGGGUGACCGGCCACACUGGGACUGAGACACGGCCCAGACUCCUACGGGAGGCAGCAGUGGGGAAUAUUGCACAAUGGGCGAAAGCCUGAUGCAGCGACGCCGCGUGAGGGAUGACGGCCUUCGGGUUGUAAACCUCUUUCAGUAGGGAAGAAGCGAAAGUGACGGUACCUGCAGAAGAAGCACCGGCUAACUACGUGCCAGCAGCCGCGGUAAUACGUAGGGUGCGAGCGUUAUCCGGAAUUACUGGGCGUAAAGAGCUCGUAGGCGGUUUGUCGCGUCUGUCGUGAAAGUCCGGGGCUUAACCCCGGAUCUGCGGUGGGUACGGGCAGACUAGAGUGCAGUAGGGGAGACUGGAAUUCCUGGUGUAGCGGUGGAAUGCGCAGAUAUCAGGAGGAACACCGAUGGCGAAGGCAGGUCUCUGGGCUGUAACUGACGCUGAGGAGCGAAAGCAUGGGGAGCGAACAGGA